ACGCUGACAGAAUGCUUAACACAUGCAAGUCUUUGGCGAAGCUGUGCUUGCACAGCCUAGCCAAGGCGGACGGGUGAGUAACGCGUAAGGAACUUGCCCUGCAGUCAGGGAUAACAGACGGAAACGACUGAUAAGACCUGGUAAAGUCAGGCGGACUCAUGUCCAGCCUGAUGAAAAGAGAUGCUGCAGGAGAGCCUUGCGUCCUAUUAGCUUGUUGGUGGGGUAACGGCCCACCAAGGCGAUGAUAGGUAGCCGGCCUGAGAGGGUGGACGGCCACAAGGGGACUGAGAUACGGCCCUUACUCCUACGGGAGGCAGCAGUGGGGAAUAUUGGACAAUGGGGGCAACCCUGAUCCAGCAAUUCUGUGUGCACGAUGAAGGUUUUCGGAUUGUAAAGUGCUUUCAGCAGGGAAGAAAAAAAUGACGGUACCUGCAGAAGAAGCGACGGCUAAAUACGUGCCAGCAGCCGCGGUAAUACGUAUGUCGCAAGCGUUAUCCGGAAUUAUUGGGCAUAAAGGGCAUCUAGGCGGCCAGAUAAGUCUGGGGUGAAAACUUGCGGCUCAACCGCAAGCCUGCCCUGGAAACUAUGUGGCUAGAGUACUGGAGAGGUGGACGGAACUGCACGAGUAGAGGUGAAAUUCGUAGAUAUGUGCAGGAAUGCCGAUGAUGAAGAUAGUUCACUGGACGGUAACUGACGCUGAAGUGCGAAAGCUAGGGGAGCAAACAGGAUUAGAUACCCUGGUAGUCCUAGCUGUAAACGAUGAUUACUGGGUGUGGGCAUGAAGAGUGUCCGUGCCGAAGCUAAUGCGAUAAGUAAUCCGCCUGGGGAGUACGGCCGCAAGGCUGAAACUCAAAGGAAUUGACGGGGACCCGCACAAGCGGUGGAGCAUGUGGUUUAAUUCGACGC
RNAcentral lists this ribosomal RNA (906 nucleotides) under uncultured bacterium. RNAcentral describes it as "bacterial SSU rRNA". It matches the Rfam family "Bacterial small subunit ribosomal RNA", at positions 33 to 957 of the family's 1533-position model. The record is from RNAcentral.